Hevea brasiliensis (rubber tree) is the source of this 2481-nucleotide RNA transcript. RefSeq lists it as uncharacterized. The transcript is spliced from 3 exons. NCBI's taxonomy places the organism in Eukaryota, Viridiplantae, Streptophyta, Magnoliopsida, Malpighiales, Euphorbiaceae. The record is from RefSeq and is a predicted model, not a curated record.
GGCCAGUUGGGAGCGUGCGCUACAUCAUUGUCCCAAUGGACAAAACAUAAAAGAAACGCUAGUAAAGGGCAAAAUGGGCCCAAAAGAGAGACACUCCGUCGCUGCCUUCGUCUACUACGCUGGGCCGAGCUUCUCUCUCUCUUGCUUUCCGAUGAAAACAGACUAAAUUGUAUAUAUGUACUUGUCCACGACUUUGAACUACUUGACAACCAUGCCUGAAGCUUGUGAUUGGACCUGGCGCGUAGGAAUCUGGAAGAUCCAAGCAUUUUCCUGUCCGGAAUUGAUUUUUCUGAUGGAUGCAGAUUCAGAAAGAACUUCACAAGAUGUGCCCCUCUUUGCUGCACGUGGCCAUGCAGAUGGUGGUUUAGUGAUUGAUCAUUCUAUCCACCAAGUAGCAUGUGUGCUGUGCAGAAGAAUUUUUGCACCUGACAAUGAUGAUCUUGAGACUGUCAGUAUAUGCGGGGACUGUAAAUUUUUGCUUCUCGAAGAUGUAGGGGACUCCACUCAGGAUUCUUUUAGGAGGAGGCCACACAGAAGAAGAAGAACUAGUUACAGCAGUUCUGAGUCAAUUGAAAAUCUUUUUUCACAACAGUUAUCACAUAUGAUUAAUUUGGCUAGGCAAAACCAGUCCAUUGUAUCUGGUCUUGACAAUCCAUCUGUAGAUGGAGAUGCUUCUGUUAGGCUGUUGCGGCACAUAAGCUCCCAUACAACCCCAACCAGUUCUAUAAGAUGGCGGCGGGUUCUCUCAGAUACUGGAAGUGAGCGUCUUGAUAAUUGGGAUUCUCUUUAUAGCGAGAAUGAAACAACUCCCAGUGUCAAUUGGUCCAGGGUUUAUCUUGGUGAGAGUGAUGCCAUUUCUUUUAGCGCAUAUGGAGGGGACUCUGAUGUAGAUGUUGAUGGACAUAGUUUUGUGGAUAUUAUUGAACCAGAUGAGGGAAGCAAUUUUGACAGUGAUACUGACAUUGAUCCAAUGCAUGCUGGUCUCAACCAAUGGAACUCAGAUGACGAGGAAGAGGAAGAAGAAGAAGAUGGUGAAUGGGAAGAAGCUGAUGUUGAGGACAACACAACUGAAUCUGUGGGGUGGCAGGACCAAGGCUGCGAAAUUAUUUAAUUUCAAGUCCAAAUGAAGGCAGUGGCUCUAGUAAUUGGCGUCAACAGUUAUUUUCUCCUGAAUUUGAGGGCCUGUUUCACUGGAGAAUCAGGCAAGAUAGACAAGCAUAUAACAGGGAGAUCUUUGCUAACUUAGGAGAAUCAGAAUUACCACAAUAUGUAAGAAAUUCUGGGGAUUAUCUUGAUGCAAGAGGCUUUGAAGAAUUUCUUGAACAUCUUGCAGAGACUGACAGCUCAAGAAGAGAAGCACCCCCUGCAGCUGUGCCCUUUGUGAAUAGCCUCCCUUGUGUGAUCAUUAAUGAGGAACAUGAGAAGAAUGAUGGUUUAGCUUGUGCAAUUUGCAAGGAUGUUUUAUCCAUUGGCACUGAAGUUAACCAGCUUCCUUGCCUUCACCUAUAUCACCCUUCCUGUAUUUUUCCAUGGCUGAGUACUCGAAAUUCAUGCCCUCUCUGUAGGUUUGAGCUACCGACUGAUGACAAAGAAUAUGAGAAGGGUAAGCAAAACAAUAAUAAUAGAUCGGGGAUUCCUGAAAUUCAGCAGCAGGAUGCAAGCGAGGAAAGUUCCUCUUAUGUUUCAGAUGGAGCUGGUGAAUUUGACCAAGGUGGAAUGGAGCAAAGGGAGCUUCUAGACAUGAACCCGAUUGUAAGUAGCUCUGGAAGAGAGCGCAGAAGUAGAUGGUUUUUUCUUGCUGCUGGUCCAAUUGUCAGUCUUGCGGGUAUUGUCCUUGUAUUGUGGCUAGGAAAUCCUCAAAGAAGAGUGCCAACUCGUCAUUGGAACUCUCCUGAGACUGGGCUUCAUCAAAUUCAAGUUCUUGGCUCUUCCAUGCCCAACCAAAGGGGUAAUAGAAGUCGGAGAUGGUGCUCUUUUUUCUAAGUUAUUCCAUGCUUGACUGAUGGGCCUAACCCAGAAUGUUCAUACAUGCUUAUCACCAAGUAGAUAAGCAAACAAACAAUUAUAGUAAUUUUAUAAUUUUUUUAGAAAUUCUAAUGCUUGGUUAGUGUCUAUUUGGGGAGUUCAAUCAGUAAGGUUUCUGAAUGCAGACCCUUUUGUUGCUUUCUUUUCAAUGACUGGUAUUAAUUACCAGUGGAGCCAAUGUGAGGGAGUUGCUGCCUUGGUGGUUCCAUGGAAAAUGGUCUUUUCCUCCUUUCUUGGCUGGAGAGAUGUUUGGUAGCGUUUGCUGGAAAUUUUAAAUGAUCUGCUUUUCAUUUUAUCAAAUUUUGGUGGUGUUAUUGUAAGUAUUUAGGAGAGGUUGAGGUUUAUUUGGAACUUGUAAAGAAACUAUGCAUGAUUAGGCGUUGCAUUUGUGUGUCAUUAACUAGCAACAUCAAUGAAGCUUUAAUGGAAGAUCAUACGUCUGUUUUCGAUUUGUUA